GACGAACGCUGGCGGCGUGCCUAACACAUGCAAGUCAAGGAGAACGGUUAGCUUCGGCUUUCUUAGUAAACUGGCGGACGGGUGAGUAACGCGUAGGCAACCUGCCCCUGUAACUGGGAUAACAUCGAGAAAUUGAUGCUAAUACCGGAUGACAUUUAAUAUGUGCAUGCAUAUAUAAUUAAAGGUGUCGCAAGUUACCGUACAGGGAUGGGCCUGCGUUCCAUUAGUUAGAUGGUGAGGUAACGGCUUACCAUGGCGACGAUGGAUAGCUGGUCUGAGAGGGUGAUCAGCCACACUGGGACUGAGAUACGGCCCAG
Molecule: ribosomal RNA, 317 nt
Filed under: uncultured bacterium
Lineage: Bacteria
Description: bacterial SSU rRNA
Rfam family: Bacterial small subunit ribosomal RNA
Source: RNAcentral